This 655-nucleotide long non-coding RNA is filed under the name Olea europaea (common olive). RNAcentral describes it as "long non-coding RNA (OEUR_LNC000301)". Lineage: Eukaryota; Viridiplantae; Streptophyta; Magnoliopsida; Lamiales; Oleaceae. The record is from RNAcentral.
UUGAAUGUGUGGAGCCUCUUGAUGUGAAUAUUGUAACUGGCAUCCCUCAAGAUGAGAAUGGGUAAGCAAUACUUAUUGUGCGACGUAGGCUCUGAACAUUUACAUUACAUGUGUAUUUUGUCACAACCCGUGGUUUUUUUUAUAUCACAUUUAUCGUAAACAUGAAUGACAUUCAGGCAGGGUAACACCCUGCUGCUUUUAUGACAUUUUUCGCUCUAAGCUGUUGAGAUGUACAAGGUAGUCGUAAUGUCAUAAUAACCAGCCAUUGCUGAACCAUUGGUAUAUUCCCAAAUUCAUUUUUAAUGGUAUUUUUUUUUUUGCUGAAUUGCAGGCAUGAUUGCUGUUUGUUUGUCAUAAAGUACGCCAAGUAUAUCAUAACCGAGAAACUCGAAGAUAUGGCAGUCACUUUUGAUCCGUUAUAUCGAGAUCUAACCUGGCAUGCCAACUUUUCAAGCACGGUUGUGAGAAGAUUAUUGAAGCAUACGAUACGGAUUUCGACCUCAUGCCACGUAGUGUUGGGCGGGACAGGAAGAUGAAAGGUGUGGUGAUUGAGUAGUCAAGUAGUAAUUUGGGAAGAAGAUUACUAAGGGCAUGUUUGGUAGUGAUUUUUUGACCGUCAUUUUACUAUUCCAAUGAUUAUAUUUGCCUUCUUCUC